Pan troglodytes (chimpanzee) is the source of this 1213-nucleotide long non-coding RNA. RefSeq lists it as uncharacterized. NCBI's taxonomy places the organism in Eukaryota, Metazoa, Chordata, Mammalia, Primates, Hominidae. The record is from RefSeq and is a predicted model, not a curated record. The transcript has 6 exons.
GUAUGUCUGUUAUAUUUUGAAAACCUAUUUUAAUGUGUUGGCUGUCUGUUCAUUAUUGAUAGAAACAAUUUCUUGCCUUUACUACAUCACUCAGGGGAUCUUGGAUCUUAGUUCAGGAACAGUGUUUUGCUGGGCCAGCUUCAUGUGUGAUCAUGUCACUAUUUUAAAAUAUAUUUGCUGAUAAUACAGUCUUAUGUACAGCUGUCCUCAAGAGCUAGCCAACAACUGUCUCAUCAGGAUGGGUUUUCCAUCUUCUUCUUCUUCCAGCACCUUUUUCUUCCUUCCAUGAUAUAGACAUAUUGAUCAUGAGGGGAGGGCUCACCCCUCACCCGGAGAAGUAGUUAGGAAAGCAAUAUGCGGAAACAAAGCCAUGAAUCUGACAAGAAAUGUACUUAAGGUAAAGGGAAGCCAAAUAUAAGUAAAGUACUAACAAGGCCAAUUACGUUCAGGUGCAUGGAUGAUUAAUCAUAAAAUUCACAACGGAGGACACUCUGUGGGGAAAAGACCAUGUGAGGACACAGUGAGAAGGAGACCAUAUGCAAAGCAGGAAGGAAGAUCUCACUGGAACCAAAAACCAGCCCUGCUGGCACCCUGAUCUUGGACUUCUAGCCUUUCUCAGAACUCCAUCUUUUCUAGGGGUCUCAGCUUCUCAGCUGUUCAUCUACACACAAAGGCCCCAAAACAUCGUGUGCCUCCCACAGAUGGAAGAAGAUGGGAAAUCAAAUACUGUCCAAGGAAGGAAAAAAGAUUAAUAAUGAAUUGGUAUCCCAAGAGUCACACAAAUAUCAAACCAAGAGGGACUAAUUCCCUGAGCAGGAAGCUAACCUAAGCCACAAUGGGAAUUGUAACCAACAGACUACAAAACGGAGCAGUGUCCACUGUGAACGUUGCAUGGAAUCCAAAGUGGCCUGUGUGCCCACUUUGAUGACUUGUACUAGCGCCUUUGAUCUCCAUCAUAGAAAAUGCUCUGCUCCAUUUCAAAAGAGAUUGUCAUAUAUGCCAUUUGCCAUUCACUGGCCUUUGGAUCAAACCAACAACAGACCUCACAGAUAGAAUUCCACCAAUGGCCAUUCACAAAGAGUUCUAGUAGCAGUUGUGGCAGAGAUACAAGAAAUACAGUGUUGAACCCAUGGGCUAGAGACUUGUGUUCCAGACCUAGAUCUGCCACCAACUGACUGCAGACCAUUGAUCACAUUACAUCUGUGGGUUCCAU